Molecule: ribosomal RNA, 482 nt
Filed under: uncultured bacterium
Lineage: Bacteria
Description: bacterial SSU rRNA
Rfam family: Bacterial small subunit ribosomal RNA
Source: RNAcentral
GAUGAACGCUGGCGGCGUGCUUAAACACAUGCAAGUCGAACGAAGCGACUAUGAUUGAGAUUUCGGUUGAUUGAUUAGUUGACUUAGUGGCGGACGGGUGAGUAACGCGUGGGUAACCUGCCUCGUACAGGGGGAUAACAGUUAGAAAUGACUGCUAAUACCGCAUAACCCGCUAGGGUCGCAUGACCCGGACGGAAAAGAUUUAUCGGUACGAGAUGGACCCGCGUCUGAUUAGCUAGUUGGUGAGGUAACGGCCCACCAAGGCGACGAUCAGUAGCCGGCCUGAGAGGUUGAACGGCCACAUUGGGACUGAGAUACGGCCCAGACUCCUACGGGAGGCAGCAGUGGGGAAUAUUGGGCAAUGGGGGAAACCCUGACCCAGCAACGCCGCGUGAAGGAAGAAGGCCCUCGGGUUGUAAACUUCUUUUAGUAGGGACGAAUACGUGACGGUACCUACAGAAAAAGCAACGGCUAACUACGUG